AGUGAACGCUGGCGGUAGGCCUAACACAUGCAAGUCGAACGGCAGCACAGUAAGAGCUUGCUCUUACGGGUGGCGAGUGGCGGACGGGUGAGGAAUACAUCGGAAUCUACUUUUUCGUGGGGGAUAACGUAGGGAAACUUACGCUAAUACCGCAUACGACCUACGGGUGAAAGCAGGGGAUCUUCGGACCUUGCGCGAUUGAAUGAGCCGAUGUCGGAUUAGCUAGUUGGCGGGGUAAAGGCCCACCAAGGCGACGAUCCGUAGCUGGUCUGAGAGGAUGAUCAGCCACACUGGAACUGAGACACGGUCCAGACUCCUACGGGAGGCAGCAGUGGGGAAUAUUGGACAAUGGGCGCAAGCCUGAUCCAGCCAUACCGCGUGGGUGAAGAAGGCCUUCGUGUUGUAAAGCCCUUUUGUUGGGAAAGAAAAGCAGCAGGUUAAUACCCCGCUGUUCUGACGGUACCCAAAGAAUAAGCACCGGCUAACUUCGUGC
RNAcentral lists this ribosomal RNA (493 nucleotides) under uncultured bacterium. Its description in RNAcentral is "partial 16S ribosomal RNA". It matches the Rfam family "Bacterial small subunit ribosomal RNA", at positions 29 to 508 of the family's 1533-position model. The record is from RNAcentral.